Long non-coding RNA from Paramormyrops kingsleyae, 347 nucleotides. RefSeq lists it as uncharacterized. The record is from RefSeq and is a predicted model, not a curated record. Lineage: Eukaryota; Metazoa; Chordata; Actinopteri; Osteoglossiformes; Mormyridae.
AGUAUUCAGGAAGAGCAUCAGUAGACAGAGGCCGAAGAAAGCUGUCGCAUCAGUUGGUGACUGGUUUGCGGCCCUGCUGCUCCUUGGAGCCUUUCUACAGCGCCGUGAGGCCCGGCUUCAGGAUUCAGCAGAACAUGGCAGCAGAAGGUUUCUGGGGUCCGUCAGGCUGACAGUGUGCCUCCGAUCAUCACGCCACUUGCUGAAGAUUCUGUCAGGCUCCACAGGACAGGGGACAGUUUAGGGUCCCCAGGAUCUUCUGAGGCGUUUGCUGUUUGGGCUCUAGACUCAUUAUAAAUUGCACCCCCCCCCCAAAGGAUAUUAACCAGUAAAUAAUCAAGCAAAAGCAA